GACGAACGCUGGCGGCGUGCCUAAUACAUGCAAGUUGAGCGCUGAAGGUUGGUACUUGUACCGACUGGAUGAGCAGCGAACGGGUGAGUAACGCGUGGGGAAUCUGCCUUUGAGCGGGGGACAACAUUUGGAAACGAAUGCUAAUACCGCAUAAAAACUUUAAACACAAGUUUUAAGUUUGAAAGAUGCAAUUGCAUCACUCAAAGAUGAUCCCGCGUUGUAUUAGCUAGUUGGUGAGGUAAAGGCUCACCAAGGCGAUGAUACAUAGCCGACUUGAGAGGGUGAUCGGCCACAUUGGGACUGAGACACGGCCCAAACUCCUACGGGAGGCAGCAGUAGGGAAUCUUCGGCAAUGGACGAAAGUCUGACCGAGCAACGCCGCGUGAGGGAAGAAGGUUUUCGGAUCGUAAAACUCGGUUGGUAGAGAAGAACGUUGGUGAGAGUGGAAAGCUCAUCAAGUGACGGUAACUACCCAGAAAGGGACGGCUAACUACGUG
This 497-nucleotide ribosomal RNA is filed under the name uncultured bacterium. RNAcentral describes it as "partial 16S ribosomal RNA". It matches the Rfam family "Bacterial small subunit ribosomal RNA", at positions 28 to 507 of the family's 1533-position model. The record is from RNAcentral.